UCAAAUUGAAUAACAGACGGUUUUCUCCUUUUGCGAGAAAUUAAAAGGGAAUUGGGUUAGACUCCCAAGCAACAGCCAUUACCGUAUUUGAUGAAGAAAAAUCAUCAGCCAUUGGGAAACCGAGAAGGCGAUUUUUUAAGCAAUGCUAUAUCAUAAGUCGGGAGACCUGCCGCAAACUUAAAUUCAGC
RNAcentral lists this non-coding RNA (188 nucleotides) under Eubacterium sp. The record is from RNAcentral. Lineage: Bacteria; Bacillati; Bacillota; Clostridia; Eubacteriales; Eubacteriaceae. RNAcentral also lists the same sequence under 1 other name.